Gallus gallus (chicken) is the source of this 325-nucleotide long non-coding RNA. Lineage: Eukaryota; Metazoa; Chordata; Aves; Galliformes; Phasianidae. The record is from Ensembl.
AACAGAAGUCAGCAGAAGUUGGGGAAAGAAAGAAAGAAAGAUAUUAUCCUCUUCAUCUUUUUCUCUCUUUCUCUUUGCACCACCUUUGGGACGUCAUGACGCAGGGUCGCAACAAUGAUUUUUGCUCCAAAGCCAUUACAUCAGUGUCUUCUUUCUCCUCAGUAUGUGCAGCUCUGGGUUACUGCUCUCAGCAGCUCUGGAGAUGUCUGAGAAUGCCAUGAGUCUGUUCCCUCAGCUGAAGCAUGCAGUGAGAUAUCAGGAGAAGACUCCAGGGACAUCUGAUCAAGCCAUCUCAGAACAGGACCACAGGAAUGGAGGUUACAAG